CAAGCACUUUAUUUUACAUUUUAAUAUUUUAUGAUGUAUUUAAAUGAGUAGUUAUUGUUGCAAACUCCAUUAGGAAUUUGAAUUGAGAUCAGUUUUGGAAAAAGGGAAAGGGGAUGUGUGAAAAAAAAUGGGGGGGGUUAAAUUUUUCUCAUUUCAGAUUUCAUAAAUAAAAAGAAAAUUUCUUCAAACAUUUUUUUGAGAGGAUUAAUAUUCAACAGCAUAGUGAAUUGCUCAAAGGCAAAAAAAAUAUUUUAAGUUCAUUAGACCACAUUCAUUCUGUGUCAGAAACCUAUGCUGUGUCAUUUAUUUAAUCACAAUCCAAAUUUAGAGCUGAAUCCAGCUUAAAUGUUGUGUCCAUACUUGCCCCAACUGUUCAGGGUUCAACCUCUGCGGUCGUAUAUAGCUGUGCCCUGCGGAGCAUCUGGUUUUAUGGUUGUUUUGUUUUUGUGUUACUGUAGAAGUUCUUAUAUUCAGUAUCCUAAAUGACAGCUUUUGUAUUCUGUUGACAAAAAAUUUGCUCAUGAGAUUUUAAUGAGAUUUUAUUAUUAGUAUUGGACAUCAAACCCUGACAAUGAAACAUUUUCUUUUUACAUGGUAUUAAAAUGUAUUUCAUGAGCAAUAGAAAUUCUUUCUUGGUGUUAAUUUAAUCUUUAUAUAAUGGUUUUCAUGAGAAAUGGAAAAUAAGAAUUGAAUUGAUACCAAGAAAGAACAGUGAUCUAACAAGUAUCUUACUUGAUUGUUAUAUAUAAUUUCAACAUUCAAUACUUGGACUUGGUUCGAGUAAAACUGACAAAGCAUGAUUUUGAAUAUGUACAUAUCUUGUAUCUAAUUAUCUGUAUCUGUUGAUGUAUUUUAACAGUUUAGUGUUUAAUGAUUGUUUGUGAUUUAAAAGUCUGUAUAUAUGUGAAUAUUUAUUUUGAUGGAAGAA
This 928-nucleotide long non-coding RNA is filed under the name Mytilus galloprovincialis (Mediterranean mussel). The record is from RNAcentral. Lineage: Eukaryota; Metazoa; Mollusca; Bivalvia; Mytilida; Mytilidae.